This 249-nucleotide ribosomal RNA is filed under the name uncultured bacterium. Its description in RNAcentral is "partial 16S ribosomal RNA". It matches the Rfam family "Bacterial small subunit ribosomal RNA", at positions 523 to 769 of the family's 1533-position model. The record is from RNAcentral.
AUACGAAGGGGGCUAGCGUUGUUCGGAAUUACUGGGUCGUAAAGCGCAUGUAGGCGGACAUUUAAGUCAGGGGUGGAAUCCCGGGGCUCAACCUCGGAACUGCCUUUGAUACUGGGUGUCUAGAGUGUGGAAGAGGUAAGUGGAAUUCCGAGUGUAGAGGUGAAAUUCGUAGAUAUUCGGAGGAACACCAGUGGCGAAGGCGGCUUACUGGUCCAUUACUGACGCUGAGGUGCGAAAGGCGUGGGGAGC